This 371-nucleotide ribosomal RNA is filed under the name uncultured bacterium. RNAcentral's name for it is "bacterial SSU rRNA". It matches the Rfam family "Bacterial small subunit ribosomal RNA", at positions 525 to 896 of the family's 1533-position model. The record is from RNAcentral.
ACAUGUGGGGCAAGCGUUGUUCGGAAUUACUGGGCAUAAAGGGUGCGUAGGUGGUUUGUUAAGUCAGGGGUGAAAUCCCGCGGCCCAACCGUGGAACUGCCUUUGAUACUGGCGAACUUGAGUGCGUGAGGGGUAGGGGGAACGAGCAGUGUAGCGGUGAAAUGCGUAGAUAUUGCUCGGAAGGCCAGAGCCGAAGGGGCCCUACUGGUGCGCAACUGACACUGAGGCACGAAAGCGUGGGGAGCAAACAGGAUUAGAUACCCUGGUAGUCCACGCCGUAAACUAUGAGCACUAGAUGGGUGUCGAGCUAUCGAUGCCUGUCGGAGACAAUUUGGUAAGUGCUCCGCCUGGGGAGUAUGGUCGCAAGGCUG